GGAAAGAUGGCAGAGUGGUCGAUUGCGCUGGUCUCGAAAACCGGUGAACGGGUAACCGUUCCGGGGGUUCGAAUCCCCCUUUUUCCG
Molecule: transfer RNA, 87 nt
Filed under: Bacteroidaceae bacterium
Lineage: Bacteria; Pseudomonadati; Bacteroidota; Bacteroidia; Bacteroidales; Bacteroidaceae
Also listed under: 1 other name
Description: tRNA-Ser
Rfam family: tRNA
About the family: Transfer RNA (tRNA) molecules are approximately 80 nucleotides in length. Their secondary structure includes four short double-helical elements and three loops (D, anti-codon, and T loops).
Source: RNAcentral